RNAcentral lists this ribosomal RNA (474 nucleotides) under uncultured bacterium. RNAcentral describes it as "bacterial SSU rRNA". It matches the Rfam family "Bacterial small subunit ribosomal RNA", at positions 1 to 524 of the family's 1533-position model. The record is from RNAcentral.
GGAUCCAGACUUGAUUUUGGCUCAGAACGAACGCUGGCGCAGGCCUUACACAUGCAAAUCGAGCGCGCCCUUCGGGGUGAGCGGCGGACGGGUUAGUAACGCGUGGGAACGUGCCCUUUGGUACGGAAUAGCCUCUGGAAACGGAGAGUAAUACCGUAUGAGCCCUUCGGGGGAAAGAUUUAUCGCCAAAGGAUCGGCCCGCGUUAGAUUAGGUAGUUGGUGGGGUAAUGGCCUACCAAGCCUACGAUCUAUAGCUGGUUUUAGAGGAUGAUCAGCAACACUGGGACUGAGACACGGCCCAGACUCCUACGGGAGGCAGCAGUGGGGGAUCUUGGACAAUGGGGGCAACCCUGAUCCAGCCAUGCCGCGUGAGUGAUGAAGGCCUUAGGGUCGUAAAGCUCUUUCGCCUGUGAAGAUAAUGACGGUAGCAGGUAAAGAAACCCCGGCUAACUCCGUGCCAGCAGCCGCGGUAAU